AUUGAACGCUGGCGGCAGGCCUAACACAUGCGAGUCGAGCGAGCGGCGGACGGGUGAGUAAUGUAUGGGGACUGCCCGAUAGAGAGGGAUAACUACUGGAAACGGUGGCUAAUACCGCAUACUGUCGGAUAACCCAUAUGGGGUUGGCUAGUAGGUAGGGUAAUGGCUUACCUAGGCGACGAGCCCUCGCUGGUCUGAGCGGAUGAGCAGCCACACUGGGACUGAGACACGGCCCAGACUCCUACGGAGGCAGCAGUGGGGAAUAUUUCACAAUGGACGAAAUUUUGACGGAGCAACGCCGCGGUAGUGAUGACGGCCUUCGGGUUGUAAAGCUCUGGUAAUCGGGAGACGGUACCGGAAUAGAAAGCCACGGCUAACUACGUGCCAGCAGCCGCGGUAAUUC
RNAcentral lists this ribosomal RNA (403 nucleotides) under uncultured bacterium. RNAcentral's name for it is "partial 16S ribosomal RNA". It matches the Rfam family "Bacterial small subunit ribosomal RNA", at positions 30 to 526 of the family's 1533-position model. The record is from RNAcentral.